Molecule: non-coding RNA, 216 nt
Organism: Vicia faba (fava bean)
Lineage: Eukaryota; Viridiplantae; Streptophyta; Magnoliopsida; Fabales; Fabaceae
Source: the annotation of a GenBank genome assembly
AUGAUGUUGAAAGAAAAACAAGAUAAAGAUUCUGAACUUCAAGUCCUUUUUGUUAAGCUGGGAUUCAAUUACAGGGUGGUUUUGAAAAUGGUUGGGAGGUUUGGUUCAUAUCAAGGCUAUUGGGAAGCAAAGGCAAAAGGAAAACACCAAGAUGACAUGGAGUUGGAACAAAGACGCAUAACACGAAGUUUUGGAAGCUUGAAGUUUGAAACAUGA